This 468-nucleotide ribosomal RNA is filed under the name uncultured bacterium. RNAcentral describes it as "partial 16S ribosomal RNA". It matches the Rfam family "Bacterial small subunit ribosomal RNA", at positions 28 to 507 of the family's 1533-position model. The record is from RNAcentral.
GACGAACGCUGGCGGCGUGCUUAACACAUGCCAGUCGAACGGAAAGGCCCUGCUUUUGUGGGGUGCUCGAGUGGCGAACGGGUGAGUAACACGUGAGUAACCUGCCCUUGACUUUGGGAUAACUUCAGGAAACUGGGGCUAAUACCGGAUAGGAGCUCCUGCUGCAUGGUGGGGGUUGGAAAGUUUCGGCGGUUGGGGAUGGACUCGCGGCUUAUCAGCUUGUUGGUGGGGUAGUGGCUUACCAAGGCUUUGAUGGGUAGCCGGCCUGAGAGGGUGACCGGCCACAAUGGGACUGAGAUACGGCCCAGACUCCUACGGGAGGCAGCAGUGGGGAAUAUUGCACAAUGGGCGGAAGCCUGAUGCAGCAACGCCGCGUGCGGGAUGACGGCCUUCGGGUUGUAAACCGCUUUCGCCUGUGACGAAGCGUGAGUGACGGUAAUGGGUAAAGAAGCACCGGCUAACUACGUG